This 591-nucleotide long non-coding RNA is filed under the name Homo sapiens (human). RNAcentral describes it as "HSALNT0102057". The record is from RNAcentral. Lineage: Eukaryota; Metazoa; Chordata; Mammalia; Primates; Hominidae.
CCGGCUAUAACUACCAAAUUUUAAGAAAAAUUUGAAGAUGGCAAAACCAAGGUUUCUAGAAUCACUUGUUUAUAUUUCUUGAUGUAACAAUCCAGCUCUGAAUCAUUCUGGCAAAAAUUGCAGCCAAUACCUUGUUUGGCUCAACUGACUACCAGCCACUGACCUCCACAGUUUCCAUUAUCACUGGUUGUACCUUCCCCCAGCGCUAGAUGCCAACAGCUAACCUUGAAUACUGGCAGUAUUACAAGCUCUCACCUAACAGCAGGAGAAGGAUGCACGAAUGCAUAGCUGUCAAAACUCUGCUGCCUAUUCAAGAUGGAAUAAUGACAGGCAUGGCCAAAUGGAGACUCAAGGCAGACUAGUACCUGACCUAACAUCCACAGGUCCAAAGAAUAAUAAAGCUGAUUGUGGAGCACUAAUACACCAUCAACACCCAAAUCAUCCUCUCGUAUUGUGACUUAUAAUUCAUAAAAUGAUCAUCUUGAGGCAGGGCAUGGUGGCUCACGUCUGUAAUCCCAACACUUUGAGAGGCGGAGGCGGGUGGAUCAUGAGGUCAGGAGAUCAAGACCAUCCUGGUUAACACGGUGAAAC